GGAGACUCAGCAUUGCUACAGCUUGUUGCUAUUUAAGUGUGCUGUAGCAAAAGGAUUUAAUCAGGUGUGUCCUUAAAUAUUGCCUAUUAGUGUUUCCUCUUAUAUUAAGAUCUGAAUGUUUUCUAAGAAUUACAAUUUCCCAGCAGUUACGCAAAUGAGGUUAAAUCAUCACUUGCAACUGUGUAUAAAAAGCUCCGCUGUCAGUACUGCAUUACCACAAUCAUCCACAUCUCUGAGACAGUCUGCUGAAGUUGUGAAGACCUGACGGUAACAUUUCUCAUCAAUCUCUUAUUGCUUCUGUGUUUUCAGUGUAAUGUUGGUGGAAUGGUGAUUUUGCAGAUGGUUUUGACCACAUCUCAUCAGAAUUAUUGUUAACAGGUGAAAUAACUGAAACCAUGAUCAAGGUUGUGUUUCUGCUUGGAUGCCUGCUGAGCCUGUUUGUUUUUAAACAGAAUGACUCAGCACACGAGCGCGAUGCACGUUCUUCAUCUGGGGAGGGGGUGAGUCUCAUGUUUGUCUUUCUACGUUUGAACAUUAGACACACUUUGCCCUCUAAUAUUUACAUAUCUCUAAGAAGUUAUUCACCAGAGAAUGCAUUAUCACAUGUAAUAAUAUAUAUUACUGAUUCUCUUGCAGACUAUUGGGACCCUAAAUCGUCUUACCCUGCUUUUACCUCUUCUACAGAAUCCAACACUUCUGCAGAAUUCAACACUCCUUGCAGCUAUUCUUGCUGCUAUACGAUAAGCUGCUUCUUAACCAACAGCUAUUACACCACAAAGGAUGAAUUGAAAAUGAACAAACAAUGAAUAAAAACCUAUGUUGAAUACCAUUGUGAAUUUCAUAAUUUAUUCACGCAGAUUGAAUUGCACUGGGAUUUAAAAAAAAAAAUAUUUACAGGAUUAUUGAGUGACUCGGUCUUACAAAGAGUUUAAAAAAAAGAUUAUUCUUGUUAAUAUGAAUAAAACCUCCUUGUUCAUUGCAGUUUCUCCCGAAUCAACCAGAUCAAUCAACAGAGUAUGCAUUAUCACAGAAUAUGUAGCAUAUUAAUAGAUACCUAUGUUUCUUAUAAACCAAACUGUAGAGAAAAGAUUAAGGCUUGCCUGGACAGGUAGGCAAUGAGGCGCUGACCACAGACUGCAUCGGGUGGGUUUAAGCAUUGGGGGGGAGGGUGGACACUCCAACUCGAGAGAGAGUGUCCUUUCACCCAGUUUAAGCAAAAGUCAACAAUCCCCUAGCCGACACAGGUGACCUUGAGGAAGUAGGAGGAUAGCGUUGUUCCUGCUUCGGCCUUGGUCUUGGCUUCCAGCUGGCGAGGGGGGACUGCACAACACCACAAUAUUGCUACAGUCCACUUCAUUCUGUAAGAUAGUAUGCAGUAUGCUGAUACUACACUGCUUUUCUAUACUAUAUAUAUUAUAUACUAUACUAUAUAUUAGGACACAGUUUAGGACACUGACGUAGCAUAGUCUCUGUUAUAGUACGCACACUGUUCACUGUUAUAGUAUAUUCAGAGCACUACGCUUCCACUGCUGUAAAUAUAUUAAUAGUACUCUGUCGAUCUGUUUACCACACCUCGAUAUAUCUGUAUACAUGUAGCACAUUUGUAUAUUUUUUCAUAGUACAUCUGUACAUCUGUGCUUGCCUGACUACCAUAGGACUCAGAUUCUUUAGUUGUUCUGCCCCAAGACUUUGAAAUGCACUUCCACCAGAUCUCCAGACCACAAAGUCUUUCACCACUUUUAAGUCACGUCUCAAAACCUAUCCAUUUAAAAUUGCAUACACCUGAUUCUGUCUUAGUCCAUUUUUACGUUGCUCAGCUUUUAUACUUGCUUUUAUACUUUCAUGGUUUUUCUCUCUCUUAUUUACCUUAUGUCUAAAUUUUAUUUUGCCAUGUUUUAUUAUAUUGUAUUGUUUGCUAUUGUUCUCGUGCUAUUGUAAGGUGACCAUGAGGGUCUUAAAGGCGCCUAGAAAUAAAAUGUAUUAUUAUUAUCAUUAUUAUUAUUAUUAAUAUAUCUUCCCAUCUGUAUAGCAAUUUAGAACAUCUGUAUGUUACACAGAUCAUCUGUAUAUCUGUACAUAUGCUUAUAUCAGUACAUCAGUAUAUUUGUUCUCUGUAUAGCAAUAUAAACAUCUGUAUACUUAUUUGUACAUAAUCUGUUCAUAACUAUUCCCACCUUUUAUACUACCCUUAUAUGUAUAUAUCUGUACAUUUGUCCAUGCAAAUUGUAUUUCGUUACCCUGUAUUUACACAUAUUCAGUGACAAUAAAGUUUGAAUCCUAUCCUAUCCUACCCUAUAUUAUAGUGAUUAUAGUGAUACUCCUUCCUUUUUGGGGGAGAACAAGGU
Molecule: long non-coding RNA, 2345 nt
Filed under: Oreochromis niloticus (Nile tilapia)
Lineage: Eukaryota; Metazoa; Chordata; Actinopteri; Cichliformes; Cichlidae
Description: lncRNA (ENSONIG00000033944.1)
Source: RNAcentral